This is a long non-coding RNA of Colossoma macropomum (tambaqui), 693 nucleotides long. RefSeq lists it as uncharacterized. The record is from RefSeq and is a predicted model, not a curated record. NCBI's taxonomy places the organism in Eukaryota, Metazoa, Chordata, Actinopteri, Characiformes, Serrasalmidae. The transcript has 4 exons.
ACCGAGUGGAGUGGAGACUGGUUUUACGACUGGAGUCCCGACUGCAGCGGUCAGAGUCUGCUUUUAAAAGAUGUUUCUCAUCAGAAAUCAUCUGAAGCUGAGCAACUGGAACAUCCUCUCUUUGGGCCUCAUCCAGUAUGGUGGCAGUCCAUAUCAUUUUCAACACUCAACUGUGCUCUUACCCAAGUGGCCUCAUCCUGAUGCUUCUUUCAUUACACUGAACAUCAUUGUCUGAACAUCAGCUAUGCGUGUGAGCUGGGUGCCACGCUGGAGUUCAUGCAUAGCGAGCUUGGCAUGCCCUCACACAACGCAACGCAUCUACCGGAGCCCGUGUAUUGGCGGAACCGCUCUGGUGCUUGAUCAGUCAGAGCCAAGUGAGCGAGCUAACUAAUCUGAGCAUACUGGGCUCAUCAGGAAGGAGGGGCUUAAAGACACUGGAGCUCUAACAGAGCGUUUCAGACAGAGGGUGAGUAGACAAUUACAGUAUGAGAAAAAUAAUGUGUUUCUGGAACACUGAAGCAUGUAAAUGUAUUAUAGUCGACCCCAAAAAUAAAUUUAUGAACAUUGGAAAUUAGCAUAACAGGUCCCCUUUAAAUUCAGCCUGCUUGUGUACGCAGAUCCAAAAGUAAUUUCAAAUUUAUUGUCUUAAAAUUGAUUUUUUAACAGAUGCAUUUUCCUCAUAUCUCUGACAAA